RNAcentral lists this ribosomal RNA (466 nucleotides) under uncultured bacterium. RNAcentral's name for it is "partial 16S ribosomal RNA". It matches the Rfam family "Bacterial small subunit ribosomal RNA", at positions 28 to 507 of the family's 1533-position model. The record is from RNAcentral.
GAUGAACGCUGGCGGCGUGCUUAACACAUGCAAGUCGAACGGAAAGGCUCCUGCUUGCAGGGGUACUCGAGUUGCGAACGGGUGAGUAACACGUGGGUGAUCUGCCCUGCACUUCAGGAUAAGCCUGGGAAACUGGGUCUAAUACCGGAUAGGACGAUGGUUUGUAUGCCAUUGUGGAAAGUUUUUUCGGUGUUGGAUGAGCUCGCGGCCUAUCAGCUUGUUGGUGGGGUAAUGGCCUACCAAGGCGUCGACGGGUAGCCGGCCUGAGAGGGUGUACGGCCACAUUGGGACUGAGAUACGGCCCAGACUCCUACGGGAGGCAGCAGUGGGGAAUAUUGCACAAUGGGCGCAAGCCUGAUGCAGCGACGCCGCGUGGGGGAUGACGGCCUUCGGGUUGUAAACUCCUUUCGCUAGGGACGAAGCGCAAGUGACGGUACCUGGAGAAGAAGCACCGGCUAACUACGUG